CGUGUGAUAGCUCAGAGAGGUUAUUCAAUUAGACUAAGUUUUCACUCUAAUGGCAUAUAAAACAACAUAAUGCUAUUCUACAUCCCACCAGAAUGAAAACAAUGGGAACCUUCUCUGGUUACACCUCCGAGGCUUCUACAAUUUGCAAGCCAUACGGAUGCUGAGACUAAGGAAGAUGAGGGAAUUCUACAAUUUACAAUUCACGACCUAUCUGCUCAGCGCGGUAAAGUUCCAACGAGAAGGGAACCAUUCUAAGUAGUAAUGUCUAAGAACCGUGGAUUCACACCAAAACCACAGCAUAAUAAACGAAACGUUUGCGUUUUCUAUGCUGUGCCAAAACAGAGUAUAGGUUAGGUUAGUGCUAUCUUCGCGGGAGAGAUUAAAUGUCCAGCAAACGACGGCAAUGUUGCCAGAUUCCUUUUAGCGGGAAUUUUAAAAUUUUAUAGCAGUUUGGUUUUAAAUUUGACAGUUCUGUUUUCUUAAGUCAAAAAUCUUAACCUUACUUUUACAAGUGAUUAGGAUUAUUAUUAUUAUUUUAUUUACAUGUAAUUUGAAACAAUAAAUAUUGAGCUGUGUCAUAAUUUCAAACUCAUUAUGUUGCAGUCUUUUCCAGUUGAUUAGUUGAUAAAAUUUCAAUUCAAAAACUUAGAUUUGCACUGUAUGGAUGGCACAGGAAGAGAACAAGACUACAAGAACAUCUUAUUAUGAAUGUAUAUGUAUGUGAUCCUCAAAAAAUUAUUUUACAAAACAAGAUAGAGAAAGAGCUUUAAAAUCCCAAGGAUCCUGCAAAAUGUUUAUUUGGUGUACUAGUCGAAUAAUAGUAUCUAAAAAUAUUGAAACUAUUUUAAAACACAUUACGGGCAUGAGGAUGAUAUAGAGCACUUACAUAAAUACCAAAAUCAGAUAAAUAUCUCUUCAAAGUUUAUUUUGAGACUUUCUUCAAAAAUUAAACUUCAGACUGUUCAGGAUAGCAUAAUAGCAUAGGAGGCGAAUUAAAAAGAAUUGAUUUACUUACAAGAAAAGAUAUCACAAACAUUAAACUCUCUUAUGGCAUUGAUUUGAAAGAUGGGUAUAUGUACAAUGAUGAUGCAACCAGUGUUUAUUUUUGGGUUGAAUGCUUACAGACUCAUGUCCAAUAUUAUUUUACAAACAACAGGGCAUACUAAUGGAUAUUCAUUCUGAAUUUAACAUUUAUGAUUUUUGUCUUAUUUUCCUUAAUACUGUGCCAAAAGAAAAUGUUAAUUAAGUUUGGUAAAUCCUUUAUCGCAAUCGAUGGAACUCAUGGGCUCAAUUCCUAUGACUUUGAACUUAUGACAGUAUUAGUAAAAGAUGAAUUUGGGAAUGGAUUUUGUACUGCUUUCUUAUUUUCAAAUAGAAAAGAUACCUACUUUAA
This 1393-nucleotide long non-coding RNA is filed under the name Diabrotica virgifera virgifera (western corn rootworm). RNAcentral describes it as "uncharacterized LOC126882336". The record is from RNAcentral. Lineage: Eukaryota; Metazoa; Arthropoda; Insecta; Coleoptera; Chrysomelidae.